Molecule: ribosomal RNA, 449 nt
Filed under: uncultured bacterium
Lineage: Bacteria
Description: partial 16S ribosomal RNA
Rfam family: Bacterial small subunit ribosomal RNA
Source: RNAcentral
CCUACGGGAGGCUGCAGUAAGGAAUAUUGGUCAAUGGACGCAAGUCUGAACCAGCCAUGCCGCGUGGAGGAUGAAGGUCCUCUGGAUUGUAAACUUCUUUUAUUUGGGACGAAACUCCCGAUUUCCAUCGGGAUUGACGGUACCAGAUGAAUAAGCACCGGCUAACUCCGUGCCAGCAGCCGCGGUAAUACGGAGGGUGCAAGCGUUAUCCGGAUUCAGGGUGUUUAAAGGGUCAGUUGGGGGAGUGGUAAAAUCUCCGGGCUUAACCCGGAAACUGCCAUUGAUACUAUUUGGCUUGAAUACGCUUGAGGUGAGCGGAAUAUGUCAUGUAGCGGUGAAAUGCUUAGAUAUGACAUAGAACACCCAUUGCGAAGGCAGCUCACUACGGAAAUAUUGACGCUGAGGCACGAAAGCGUGGGGAUCAAACAGGAUUAGAUACCCGAGUAGUC